UUUAAAAUUGGAUCUCUGACGUGCUUGCACUGAAUGAGAUUUUAACACGAAGUGAGUGGCGGACGGGUGAGUAACACGUGGGUAACCUGCCCAGAAGCAGGGGAUAACACCUGGAAACAGAUGCUAAUACCGUAUAACAGAGAAAACCGCCUGGUUUUCUUUUAAAAGAUGGCUCUGCUAUCACUUCUGGAUGGACCCGCGGCGCAUUAGCUAGUUGGUGAGGUAACGGCUCACCAAGGCGAUGAUGCGUAGCCGACCUGAGAGGGUAAUCGGCCACAUUGGGACUGAGACACGGCCCAGACUCCUACGGGAGGCAGCAGUAGGGAAUCUUCCACAAUGGACGCAAGUCUGAUGGAGCAACGCCGCGUGAGUGAAGAAGGGUUUCGGCUCGUAAAGCUCUGUUGUUAAAGAAGAACGUGGGUGAGAGUAACUGUUCACCCAGUGACGGUAUUUAACCAGAAAGCCACGGCUAACUACGUGCCAGCAGCCGCGGUAAUACGUAGGUGGCAAGCGUUAUCCGGAUUUAUUGGGCGUAAAGCGAGCGCAGGCGGUCUUUUAAGUCUAAUGUGAAAGCCUUCGGCUCAACCGAAGAAGUGCAUUGGAAACUGGGAGACUUGAGUGCAGAAGAGGACAGUGGAACUCCAUGUGUAGCGGUGAAAUGCGUAGAUAUAUGGAAGAACACCAGUGGCGAAGGCGGCUGUCUGGUCUGUAACUGACGCUGAGGCUCGAAAGCAUGGGUAGCGAACAGGAUUAGAUACCCUGGUAGUCCAUGCCGUAAACGAUGAUUACUAAGUGUUGGAGGGUUUCCGCCCUUCAGUGCUGCAGCUAACGCAUUAAGUAAUCCGCCUGGGGAGUACGACCGCAAGGUUGAAACUCAAAAGAAUUGACGGGGGCCCGCACAAGCGGUGGAGCAUGUGGUUUAAUUCGAAGCUACGCGAAGAACCUUACCAGGUCUUGACAUCUUCUGCCAACCUAAGAGAUUAGGCGUUCCCUUCGGGGACAGAAUGACAGGUGGUGCAUGGUUGUCGUCAGCUCGUGUCGUGAGAUGUUGGGUUAAGUCCCGCAACGAGCGCAACCCUUAUUACUAGUUGCCAGCAUUCAGUUGGGCACUCUAGUGAGACUGCCGGUGACAAACCGGAGGAAGGUGGGGACGACGUCAAAUCAUCAUGCCCCUUAUGACCUGGGCUACACACGUGCUACAAUGGAUGGUACAACGAGUCGCGAAACCGCGAGGUUUAGCUAAUCUCUUAAAACCAUUCUCAGUUCGGACUGUAGGCUGCAACUCGCCUACACGAAGUCGGAAUCGCUAGUAAUCGCGGAUCAGCAUGCCGCGGUGAAUACGUUCCCGGGCCUUGGGGGACACCAGCCCGUCUAAACCAUGAGACGUUCUGUAAAUG
RNAcentral lists this ribosomal RNA (1397 nucleotides) under Pediococcus acidilactici. Its description in RNAcentral is "bacterial SSU rRNA". It matches the Rfam family "Bacterial small subunit ribosomal RNA", at positions 63 to 1423 of the family's 1533-position model. Lineage: Bacteria; Bacillati; Bacillota; Bacilli; Lactobacillales; Lactobacillaceae. The record is from RNAcentral.